Molecule: transfer RNA, 72 nt
Filed under: Thermoplasmata archaeon
Lineage: Archaea; Methanobacteriati; Thermoplasmatota; Thermoplasmata
Also listed under: 2 other names
Description: tRNA-Gln
Rfam family: tRNA
About the family: Transfer RNA (tRNA) molecules are approximately 80 nucleotides in length. Their secondary structure includes four short double-helical elements and three loops (D, anti-codon, and T loops).
Source: RNAcentral
GGCCCUGUAGUGUAGCGGUUAGCAUCAGAGACUCUGGAUCUCUAGACGCCAGUUCAAAUCUGGCCGGGGCUG